AUCGGAGCGGAAGGAAGCUCACUGUAGAGGUUACAAACUGGGUGUUAAUCACUCGUCCAAUCACCUCGGGGAAGGUCUGAGACAGGAGCCAAUCGCUGUCCUCACAGGACAUCAUCUGAACAGAUGAGCGAGUGCACAGAAAAUUGGGUCAAAACGCGGUGUUCACGCACGAGACGUUGGUAAGCAAAAUAGCGGAUCAAUUGAUGCGAUCCCCGUCGACUUGGAAACGCUCGCGGCUGGCGCAAUGAGUUCAAUGUGUGAACUAGCACAAGAUGCUAGAACCCAAUUCAGACUACUCUCC
This 301-nucleotide RNase P RNA is filed under the name Ctenopharyngodon idella (grass carp). RNAcentral's name for it is "partial ribonuclease P RNA subunit". It matches the Rfam family "Nuclear RNase P". Rfam says of the family: Ribonuclease P (RNase P) is a ubiquitous endoribonuclease, found in archaea, bacteria and eukarya as well as chloroplasts and mitochondria. The record is from RNAcentral. Lineage: Eukaryota; Metazoa; Chordata; Actinopteri; Cypriniformes; Xenocyprididae.